RNAcentral lists this microRNA (22 nucleotides) under Mus musculus (house mouse). RNAcentral's name for it is "mmu-miR-6981-3p". Lineage: Eukaryota; Metazoa; Chordata; Mammalia; Rodentia; Muridae. The record is from miRBase by way of RNAcentral.
CAACAGCCUACUGUCUCCUCAG